RNAcentral lists this ribosomal RNA (587 nucleotides) under uncultured bacterium. Its description in RNAcentral is "bacterial SSU rRNA". It matches the Rfam family "Bacterial small subunit ribosomal RNA", at positions 338 to 916 of the family's 1533-position model. The record is from RNAcentral.
CCUACGGGAGGCAGCAGUAGGGAAUCUUCCGCAAUGGACGAAAGUCUGACGGAGCAACGCCGCGUGAACGAUGAAGGCUUUCGGGUCGUAAAGUUCUGUUGUCAGGGAAGAACAAGUACCGGAGUAACUGCCGGUACCUUGACGGUACCUGACCAGAAAGCCACGGCUAACUACGUGCCAGCAGCCGCGGUAAUACGUAGGUGGCAAGCGUUGUCCGGAAUUAUUGGGCGUAAAGCGCGCGCAGGCGGUUCCUUAAGUCUGAUGUGAAAGCCCCCGGCUCAACCGGGGAGGGUCAUUGGAAACUGGGGAACUUGAGUGCAGAAGAGGAGAGCGGAAUUCCACGUGUAGCGGUGAAAUGCGUAGAGAUGUGGAGGAACACCAGUGGCGAAGGCGGCUCUCUGGUCUGUAACUGACGCUGAGGCGCGAAAGCGUGGGGAGCGAACAGGAUUAGAUACCCUGGUAGUCCACGCCGUAAACGAUGAGUGCUAAGUGUUAGAGGGUUUCCGCCCUUUAGUGCUGCAGCAAACGCAUUAAGCACUCCGCCUGGGGAGUACGGCCGCAAGGCUGAAACUCAAAGGAAUUGACGG